This is a long non-coding RNA of Bufo gargarizans (Asiatic toad), 209 nucleotides long. RefSeq lists it as uncharacterized. The record is from RefSeq and is a predicted model, not a curated record. The transcript has 3 exons. Lineage: Eukaryota; Metazoa; Chordata; Amphibia; Anura; Bufonidae.
AGAAGAUCCUAGAACUCACCAACAAGAUGAUUGAGCUGCUGACUGGAGAGAUUCCUAUAAGGUGUCAGGAUGUCACCGUCUAUUUCUCCAUGGAGGAGUGGGAGUAUUUAGAAGGACACAAAGAUCUGUACACGGACGUCAUGAUGGGGGAUCACCGGCCCCUCACAUUACCAGUUAAGGAAGAGAUAACAACACCGGAGAGAUGUCCU